UACGUAGGGUCCGAGCGUUGUCCGGAAUUAUUGGGCGUAAAGGGCUCGUAGGCGGUUUGUCGCGUCGGGAGUGAAAACACGGGGCUUAACCCCGUGCCUGCUUCCGAUACGGGCAGACUAGAGGUAUGCAGGGGAGAACGGAAUUCCUGGUGUAGCGGUGAAAUGCGCAGAUAUCAGGAGGAACACCUGUGGUGUAGACAGCUUACUGGACCAUUUCUGACGCUGAGACACGAAAGCGUGGGGAGCAAACAGG
This 253-nucleotide ribosomal RNA is filed under the name uncultured bacterium. Its description in RNAcentral is "partial 16S ribosomal RNA". It matches the Rfam family "Bacterial small subunit ribosomal RNA", at positions 524 to 776 of the family's 1533-position model. The record is from RNAcentral.